UGUUAGCCUCUGUUGGCAGUCC
RNAcentral lists this unclassified non-coding RNA (22 nucleotides) under Mus musculus (house mouse). Its description in RNAcentral is "oocyte_clustered_small_RNA7794". The record is from RNAcentral. Lineage: Eukaryota; Metazoa; Chordata; Mammalia; Rodentia; Muridae.